CUACGGGGGGCAGCAGUGGGGAAUAUUGGGCAAUGGGCGAAAGCCUGACCCAGCAACGCCGCGUGAAGGAAGAAGGUUUUCGGAUCGUAAACUUCUAUCCCAGGUGAAGAUAAUGACGGUAGCCUGGAAGGAAGCCCCGGCUAACUACGUGCCAGCAGGCAGCGGUAAUACGUAGGGGGCAGAGCGUUGUCCGGAAUGAUUGGGCGUAAAGGGCGCGUAGGCGGCCUUCUAAGUCCGAUGUGAAAGUCCUGCUUUUAAGGUGGGAAUUGCAUUGGAAACUGGAGGGCUUGAGUGCAGGAGAGGUAAGUGGAAUUCCCGGUGUAGCGGUGAAAUGCGUAGAGAUCGGGAGGAACACCAGUGGCGAAGGCGACUUACUGGACUGUAACUGACGCUGAGGCGCGAAAGUGUGGGGAGCAAACAGGAUUAGAUACCCGCGUAGUC
This 441-nucleotide ribosomal RNA is filed under the name uncultured bacterium. Its description in RNAcentral is "partial 16S ribosomal RNA". It matches the Rfam family "Bacterial small subunit ribosomal RNA", at positions 339 to 795 of the family's 1533-position model. The record is from RNAcentral.